This 440-nucleotide ribosomal RNA is filed under the name uncultured bacterium. Its description in RNAcentral is "bacterial SSU rRNA". It matches the Rfam family "Bacterial small subunit ribosomal RNA", at positions 28 to 448 of the family's 1533-position model. The record is from RNAcentral.
GACGAACGCUGGCGGCGUGCCUAACACAUGCAAGUCGAACGGAACUGUUUUGAAAGAUUUCUUCGGAAUGAAUUUGAUUUAGUUUAGUGGCGGACGGGUGAGUAACGCGUGAGUAACCUGCCUUCAAGAGGGGGAUAACAUUCUGAAAAGAAUGCUAAUACCGCAUGACAUAUCGGAACCACAUGGUUUUGAUAUCAAAGAUUUUAUCGCUUGGAGAUGGACUCGCGUCCGAUUAGUUAGUUGGUGAGGUAACGGCUCACUAAGACCGCGAUCGGUAGCCGGACUGAGAGGUUGAACGGCCACAUUGGGACUGAGACACGGCCCAGACUCCUACGGGAGGCAGCAGUGGGGGAUAUUGCGCAAUGGGGGCAACCCUGACGCAGCAACGCCGCGUGAAGGAUGAAGGUUUUCGGAUUGUAAACUUCUUUUAUUAAGGACGA